Molecule: long non-coding RNA, 2425 nt
Organism: Gallus gallus (chicken)
Lineage: Eukaryota; Metazoa; Chordata; Aves; Galliformes; Phasianidae
Source: Ensembl
GACUUUCUUUCUUUCUUUCUUUCUUUCUUUCUUUCUUUCUUUCUUUCUUUCUUUCUUUCUUUCUUUCUUUCUUUCUUUCUUUCUUUCUUUCUUUCUUUCUUUCUUUCUUUCUUUCUUUCUCUUUUUUUUUUUUUUCCCUAACUAGAUUUAAAUGUAUCCUAUUUUACCACUGUAGCAUAUGACAGAAUACAGAGCUGGAUGAGCAAUACUAAUUCUAUUGGAAAAAUGGGCUAGGAAAGCUUCUGGAGUCAUGGGAAAACUAUUUUAAGGUAAGAGUGAACAAGGAGGCUUUGUUGUCCUUUGUUUUAGAAAGAAGGAAAAACAAGAAAGUAGACAACAGGAGUACAUAGGAGAAGACUGAAUAAUAGGCAUCUUCCACCUUAAGGUUAAACAGGGUCUUGGAGAACAGGAGAGGUGUGUGGAGACUCGAAUAGCCAAUGUCAAGGUCUUCAAAAUGGGAAAGAAGGAGGAUCCGGGAAACUAUGGGCCAGUCAGCCUCAUCUCUGUCCCUGGAAAAGUGCCAUCUCCAAGCAAUUGGUAAAGAAGAAGGUUAUCAGGAAUAGUCAGCAUGGAUUCACUAAGGGAAAAUCAUGCUUGAACAACAUUGUAGCCCUCUACAAUGGCAUCACCAGCUGGGUAGAUGUGGGGAGAGCAGUGGAUGCCAUCUACCUUGACUUCAGAAGGGCUUUUGAUACUGUGUCCCAUGACAUUCUGAUAAUGAAGCUGAGAAAGUGUGGUAUAGAUGAGUGGACAGUGAGGUGGGUUGAGAACGGGCUGACUGGCUAAGUUCAGAGGAUUGUGAUCAGUGGUACAGUCUGGUUGGAGACCUGUGACUAGCAGUGUUCCCCAGGGGUCAGUGCUGGGUCCGGUCUCGUUCAGUAUCUUCAUCGAUGACCUUGAUGAUGGGAGAGUGUCCACCCCUAGUUAGUAUGCCGAUGAUACAAAGCUGGGAGGAGUGGCUGACACACCUGAAGGCUGUGUUGCCAUUCAGCAAGAUCUGGACAGACUGGAGAGCUGGGCAGCAGAAAAUGAGAUGAGGUUUAACAAAAGCAAGUGCAGGGUCUUGCACCUGGAAAGGAAUAGUCAUAAGUAUCAGUACAGGCUGGGACAUGAACUGCUGGAGAGGAGAUCUGCAGAGAAGGACCUGGAGGUCCUGGUGGAUGACAGGUUGGUGAUGAGCCAGCGGUGUGCGCUGGUGGCCAAGAAGGCCAAUGGGAUUCUGGGGUGCAUUAAAAGGAGCAUGGCCAGCAGGUCAAGGGAGGUGAUCCUCCCCCUCUACUCUCUCUGCCCUGGUCAGGCCUCACCUGGAGUACUGUAUCCAGUUCUGGGCUCCCCAGUACAAAAAAGACAAGGAUCUCCUGGAGAGAGCCCAGUGGAGGGCCACAAAGAAGAUGAAGGGCCUGGAGCAUCUCUCUUAGGAGGAAAGGCUGAGUGAACUGGGUUCAGCCUUGAGAAAAGAAGACUCAGAGGUGAUCUUAUUAAUGUUUAUAAAUAUCUUAAGUGUGGGAGUCAAAGGGACAUGGCCAACCUCUUUUCAGUGAUCUCUGGGGACAGGACAAGGGCAAAUGGCCAUAAACUAGAGCACAGGAAGUUCUGCACCAAUUUGUGAAGGCACUUCUUCACAGUGAGAAUGAUGGAGCACUGAAACAGGCUGCCCAGGGAGGUUGUGGAUUCUCCUUCUCUGGAGAUAUUCAAGACGUGCCUGGAUGCCUACCUGUGCAGCUUUGUAUCUCUGCAGUUUUUUUUGGACUUGUUGAUCUCUGGAGGUUUCUUCCAACCACUGCAAUUCUGUGAUUCUGUGAUAUUUAAACACGAUUCACUUGAAAAAAAAAAAAACAAAAAACUUUAUUGUUUAUUUCUCCUCUUUUACUUAGCCAUUUUCUUUACAUCAAUUUUGAAGAAGCAUUAACACUCAUUUAUUUGUGUGCUUUUUUAAAAUCAAAAUAAAGAUGUUCAAAGGGUCUCUGCUGUCCUUUGCAAGUAGAAAGUAAAUGCAGAAACAAGAGGGAAGGUGCCUUAGCAACAGUCCCAGACUUCUUCCCUUUUGAAGCAUCAUCACAAUUACAAUCAUUAAUGUUGGUAAAAAAAGAUGAUAGUCUAGAUCUGAAAGAUAAUAAGGUUCUUUUAAACAAAGCACAAUGUGCUCCAUGCAGUAAUGGUAAAUACAAAUCAUAAACAAAUGGCAUUUUGCAUUAUGGUAGGCACUAAGGAAUUUCUCCCUGACCAGCAAGAAUUAACAGUAUUUUUCAUCUUUUAAAUAUAUUCUGUAAUUCAAGUUAUAAAGAAGAAUGUUAACUCUGUGCAAUAAAUGAAUUCAUAAUAAAACUCAACUCUUCUGUCCUUCUGUUGUGAUAGUUCAUGGGACAGCUUUUCUCUCUGUGCACUGAAAGAAUCUAAAACCUGUGGGAUAAAAACUGUAUACAAU